GACGCUGGCCCAGAGGCCCAGGACAGGUGGUUCUCAGCCAUCAGACCGGGGUUCGAAUCCCCGUAGCGCUGCCA
This 74-nucleotide transfer RNA is filed under the name Candidatus Aminicenantes bacterium RBG_19FT_COMBO_58_17. Its description in RNAcentral is "tRNA-Glu". Lineage: Bacteria; Candidatus Aminicenantota. The record is from RNAcentral.